GGCCCGAUAGUUCAACGGAUAGAACGGAAGUUUCCUAAACUUUAAAUAGAGGUUCGAUUCCCCUUCGGGCUA
Molecule: transfer RNA, 72 nt
Filed under: Bacteroidales bacterium
Lineage: Bacteria; Pseudomonadati; Bacteroidota; Bacteroidia; Bacteroidales
Description: tRNA-Arg
Rfam family: tRNA
About the family: Transfer RNA (tRNA) molecules are approximately 80 nucleotides in length. Their secondary structure includes four short double-helical elements and three loops (D, anti-codon, and T loops).
Source: RNAcentral